CCUUGUACACACCGCCCGUCACACCAUAGGAGUUGGUUUUACCUGAAGGCGGUGCGCUAACCCGCAAGGGAGGCAGCCGACCACGGUAGGGUCAGCGACUGGGGUG
RNAcentral lists this ribosomal RNA (106 nucleotides) under uncultured bacterium. Its description in RNAcentral is "partial 16S ribosomal RNA". It matches the Rfam family "Bacterial small subunit ribosomal RNA", at positions 1379 to 1482 of the family's 1533-position model. The record is from RNAcentral.